Molecule: ribosomal RNA, 446 nt
Filed under: uncultured bacterium
Lineage: Bacteria
Description: partial 16S ribosomal RNA
Rfam family: Bacterial small subunit ribosomal RNA
Source: RNAcentral
CCUACGGGGGGCAGCAGUUGAGAAUCAUUCACAAUGGGGGAAACCCUGAUGGUGCGACGCCGCGUGGGGGAAUGAAGGUCUUCGGAUUGUAAACCCCUGUCAUGUGGGAGCAAAUUAAAAAGAUAGUACCACAAGAGGAAGAGACGGCUAACUCUGUGCCAGCAGCCGCGGUAAUACAGAGGUCUCAAGCGUUGUUCGGAAUCACUGGGCGUAAGGCGUGCGUAGGCUGUUUCGUAAGUCGUGUGUGAAAGGCGCGGGCUCAACCCGCGGACGGCACAUGAUACUGCGAGACUAGAGUAAUGGAGGGGGAACCGGAAUUCUCGGUGUAGCAGUGAAAUGCGUAGAUAUCGAGAGGAACACUCGUGGCGAAGGCGGGUUCCUGGACAUUAACUGACGCUGAGGCACGAAGGCCAGGGGAGCGAAAGGGAUUAGAUACCCUUGUAGUC